GAAAGAGGGGGAACCCCUGCUCCGCACGCCGCGUGAGCGAAGAAGGCCUCCGGGCCGUAAAGCCCUCUUGUCAGGGAAGAAACACCGGCUCUAACACAGUCCGGGAAUGACGGUACCUGAAGAAUAAGCACCGGCUAACUACGUGCCAGCAGCCGCGGUAAUACGUAGGGUGCAAGCGUUAAUCGGAAUCACUGGGCGUAAAGCGUGCGCAGGCGGUUAUACAAGACAGGCGUGAAAUCCCCGGGCUUAACCUGGGAAUGGCGCCUGUGACUGUAUAGCUAGAGUGUGUCAGAGGGGGGUAGAAUUCCACGUGUAGCAGUGAAAUGCGUAGAUAUGUGGAGGAAUACCAAUGGCGAAGGCAGCCCCCUGGGAUAACACUGACGCUCAUGCACGAAA
Molecule: ribosomal RNA, 396 nt
Filed under: uncultured bacterium
Lineage: Bacteria
Description: bacterial SSU rRNA
Rfam family: Bacterial small subunit ribosomal RNA
Source: RNAcentral